GAUGAACGCUGGCGGCGUGCCUAAUACAUGCAAGUCGAGCGAAGCGGGGACGGGUGAGUAACACGUGGAGAACCUCCUUUAAGACUGGGAUAACUUCGGGAAACCGGAGCUAAACCGGAAUCUGUUAGAUGUAUCCGCGCUGCAGUAGCUAGUUGGUAAGGUAACGGCUUACCAAGGCAACGAUGCAUAGCAGACCUGAGCGGGUGGUCAGCCACACUGGAACUGAGACACGGUCCAGACUCCUACGUGAGGCAGCAGUAGGGAAGCUUCCGCAAUGGGCGAAAGCCUGAUGGAGCAACGCCGCGUGAGUGAUGAAGGUCUUCGGAUCGUAAAACUCUUUUAGUAGGGAAGCGGUACCUAAACAGAAAGCCACGGCUAACUCCGUGCCAGCAGCCGCGGUAAUUC
This 405-nucleotide ribosomal RNA is filed under the name uncultured bacterium. RNAcentral describes it as "partial 16S ribosomal RNA". It matches the Rfam family "Bacterial small subunit ribosomal RNA", at positions 28 to 526 of the family's 1533-position model. The record is from RNAcentral.